GGUUUUAGAUAACAAGGAUGAUGAAGUGUGAGUCAGCAGAACAAGUGUGACCUUAUUGUCAAUCUUAAAACUUCAGUAAACCAAAAAGUAGGUAAACUUUGUUUUCAUCCCUUUCACGCUUGUUCUGGUGCUUUGGAUUUUGGAUUGCCAUGUACAAUUUAAUAAGUUAAUUUCUUUACUUUCCUUUUGGUCUUGGCAGUUGUUGUGGUGGGAUAGUGUAAAUUUUAAAUCCAAAGCUUUUGACUUUUAUGAUGGUAAUAAAUUUGCUCAUUUUAUUAAAAUAAUCAUGAAUCAUCAUUUACAACAUAGGUCAGAUUACAAAUGUUGGUACUACUAUAUCUGCUUGCUUUUGUAAUUAGCGGGGCUAAUCCUGAUGUUAAUCAAUUUGGUGCUGCAUGAGUCCUUCAUCCUGAUGAUGUCCUUGCAUUUUUUUUUUUCUUUCUCAUUAUUGAUACCUUAGAAUGUAUAAUGCUUUUGUCUAAUAUAUGUACACUUUAAAUUUGUUUGCAGGUUAGGGAUACCAGUUUUCAUAGAGAAGGUGCUGACAUUCAUGUAGAUGUUGGUUUGUGUAUCACUCAGGUAUUGGUUAAAUAUUUUAGUUCUUUGAAGUUCUUUAUAUGCUUUAAUACGAGAAACUCUUGAAGAUUCAUAUGAGAUGGAAAAAUAGAAUAAUCUCUUUUAACUUUGGCAAUAUCUAAUUGUUUUUAGGUCACCAACAAACUGAAGUGUAAGAACUCAAAUGGGUUUCAUUAGUCUUGUGUAUUUGGAUCGUUUUUCUGAUUGGAUAUUUUGGGCUCUGUUUUAGGUUGCUUGUUUGCCAUUAAUUUUGGCUAUUUCUAUGAACCCUAUAAUUUCGUACAAGAAAUUCAAAAAGGAAAGAAGAUUUGACUAAGUUUUCAUAUGGCCCUUGAAAGAAUGCAUGUCCUACUUAAAAAAGAAAAGUAUAUGAUCGUUUUUGAGUCUUUACACUCUUUGGCUGACCUUGUCCAAGCAAGUAUUGGAUGAUUUAUAGGAUCAACAAAUUAGUGAAGCACUCAUCCUAGCUUCAAAUCCCAUUGGGAGGUAAAAAUGAUAACUAGGAUUUUAGUUUAAUAGAAGAAGUCACUAUUUUGUGCAGUGUAUAUAUUGCUAGAAUUUAUCUCUGAUGCACUCUAUGUAAAGGAAAGUGGGUUUUAUACCAAUAUUACUCCUAUCACGGUUCUUGAAUAUUCAUGUUAAUGACUUUGCUUGAGAAAUCUUGUACUUUAUAAUUUCUAAUUUUCUGUUUACAUGUUAGAAGAAGAUAUUUUAUCUAUUUAUAUAUUCUUCCUUCUGGAUGGUGCUUAUGACUUAUAAGUUUUGGGAAGUACUCAUAAUUGUACUUUUGGCUGAGUAGGAAUUUUUUCCCCAUUUUGCAAGAAUUGUCCAUCAAAUUUAUAUAAGUUUGUAGAUAGCACAAGUAUGCACCUUUAGACACUUUUGAAAGAUACAAGAAGAAGCACAUGCGAUUCUCAUCCAACCAAUUCCAUUGUAGGAGAUGAUCUGACUAUCAAUUGCUGUAGGUUUUGAUAACUCAUUGAUCCAUAUAUAUGUUAAUGUUUUGACAGAUUGGUAUAACUAGGGAGGCUCCAACCAAAGCAAGACUUGGACUUGUCAUGAGCUUUCACAUAGAGAUGUUAUGGGGAAAGUAAAGCUUCUAAGUGACAAGUUAGAGAGCUUAUUUCAUUUUAGUACGUUUAUUUUAAAUGUAUUCAUGUUGUAAUUUCAAUACUAUGUAAGUAUAUGGUUGUGUUAUUUUAAAUUAUUGUAUAUAAUUGUAUUAUUCUAGUGGAUUUACAAUUUCUUAUAUGUUUUUUAUAUGUAUUUCUUUUAAUGAUAAAG
Molecule: long non-coding RNA, 1860 nt
Filed under: Prunus dulcis (almond)
Lineage: Eukaryota; Viridiplantae; Streptophyta; Magnoliopsida; Rosales; Rosaceae
Description: sRNA ncRNA
Source: RNAcentral